GCGAGCACGCGGGCGGGGUGGGGGGGAAUGCGGGGGGUGCGGGCGGUGUACGGGAUGACCGGGCGUGAAGGGCGUGUAGGCGGCCUGAUAAGUAGGAGGUGAAAUCCUGCGGCGUAACCGGAGGGGUGGCUUCGGAACUGUCAGGCUAGAGCACAGUAGAGGCAGGUGGAAUUCCCGGUGGAGCGGUGGAAUGCGUAGGGAUCGGGAAGAACAUCGGUGGCGAAGGCGGCCUGCUGGGCUGUUGCUGACGCUGAGGCGCGACAGCGUGGGGAGCAAACAGGAUUAGAUACCCCGGUAGUC
RNAcentral lists this ribosomal RNA (300 nucleotides) under uncultured Desulfurococcus sp. Its description in RNAcentral is "bacterial SSU rRNA". The stretch from base 55 to 300 matches the Rfam family "Bacterial small subunit ribosomal RNA", at positions 550 to 795 of the family's 1533-position model. Lineage: Archaea; Thermoproteati; Thermoproteota; Thermoprotei; Desulfurococcales; Desulfurococcaceae. The record is from RNAcentral.